GGCAGGGCGUGUGGGAAGAGGCCCCAUGUGAAGUUGGCCAGGGCCAUCAUGUCCUCUCAGCACUUGCUGGGCCAUCACGUCUUCCUCCUUUCCAGAGCGGGGCCAUUUUUUCUGUCCCCUCCCGGUCAGUAUCACCGACCAAACCCAGAGGUGACCUGGAUCGGCAGGGGGACAGGCUUGGGGCAACAGGAGAACAGAGUUUUCUUGGCUAUUCAGCAUUGGCUGUCCAUACACCAUUGCUUUUCUCUGUGCGCUUUGUCAACAGGCCUGCUGCACCCAGGAGACAAGAUCAUCAAAGAAGGAGAAGACGUGAGGAAGAUCAGGCAGCCUGGAGGAUACUACAGCACAGGACAUGCUGACGCCACAUCUCCUCUGAGCAUGUCCAGGUCAAAAAGUGCAUCAGGAAAACAGGCCAAGGAGGCAGAAAACAGGCGUCUUGAGAAGAAUAAGAAUCAAAAGUCAAGCGACAAUAACUUCUGGCCAGGCCAUCUCCUGGACAAGAUGCGCCUGUACUUUCCAGAUAAGGAGCCUGACAGGGCACACGCCUUGUUUAGCUAUGUUCACCCAACCAGGCCUGCCUACCGUGGUAUCUAAAACCCUGGCUACAGGUAGUUCAUCAGAGCCAGGAUACUUGGCCUCUAGAGACACUCCAUUCGAGAAAACUCAUUUCACCUGAAGUUCUUCUCCUAGCGGCAUGAGAUGUGUGCACAGCUUUGUGACUCAUCAGGUCAGCUCAUGGGAUCUGGGCCAACUUCAUGGAGAAUAUCAUCAACUAUCCUGAGUUGCAAGGGGUUUGAUCAUCAAGUCUAACAGCUGGCUUCCCACAGGACUACCUAAAAAUUAAACCAUAUAUCUGACAGUGUUGUCCAAAAGCUUCCUGAACUCUGGCUUGCUUGCUGACAUGACUGGAUCUUGUGGUUAACGCAGGAGGUAUCUCAACACCAUACGGACAUUCGUUCACUCCCCCAUACGCACCCGUGUUGUUUAGCAUACUUGAGUUGCAUCCCUGUGCCCAGUGGUGUGCUCUUGUGACCCCUGGAGAGCUCACAACACUCCCAGUGCACUCUAGCAACUGCUGGAUUUUCCAGGUGGACCUCUAGACUGCUCUUAGAGGUUACUAGGUGUGUGGUGGUUGUACUUGGGUGGGUGGCCAAGCUCCACCACAACUGGUCUCUCACUCCCCCUCCUCAAAGAGAAACAGGGAGAAGCUACGCACAAGCAGGAGCACUGGGAGGGAAGCAGGUACAGAUCUUUCCCUCGUGAAAGAAACAGCCCUGAGAAUGGCAGAAGAGCAGUCAAAUACUCAAAGUACAGAUCUGGCAGCGGAGGAAGAUCAGAACAAGGUAGCAAUAGAUAUUACCGAUCCAAAGGGGAAAGAAGUUGGAGCAGAGAAAGAUACUAUCGAGAUGAACCGAAUGAUGAUCGAGAUGAUCAUUACAAAAGCGGAUGGCCUCACAGUUCAUAUACAAGAAGUAUAUGCUUUCCUCUGAGAAGGCUAAUUCAUCACGAAACAGCUCUCUGCAACUUCUAGUAUUAAACGUUGUUUAUGGGAAGACUUAUUUUUAGUGAAUCAAGAAAUAUAUUCAUGUAAUUC
RNAcentral lists this long non-coding RNA (1594 nucleotides) under Anas platyrhynchos platyrhynchos (common mallard). RNAcentral's name for it is "lncRNA (ENSAPLG00000016854.1)". The record is from RNAcentral. Lineage: Eukaryota; Metazoa; Chordata; Aves; Anseriformes; Anatidae.